Molecule: unclassified non-coding RNA, 148 nt
Organism: Papio anubis (olive baboon)
Lineage: Eukaryota; Metazoa; Chordata; Mammalia; Primates; Cercopithecidae
Rfam family: Metazoan signal recognition particle RNA
About the family: The signal recognition particle (SRP) is a universally conserved ribonucleoprotein.
Source: Ensembl
GCUGGGCGCAGUGGUGCGCACCUGUAGUCCCAGCUACUCGGGAGGCUGAGGCGGGAGAAUCGCUUGAACUCGGGAAGCGGAGAUUGCAGUGUGCCGAGAUCAUGCCACUGCAAUCCAGCCUGGUUAACAGAGUGAGACUCCGUCUCUA